AGUGAACGCUGGCGGUAGGCCUAACACAUGCAAGUCGAACGGCAGCACAGUAAGAGCUUGCUCUUACGGGUGGCGAGUGGCGGACGGGUGAGGAAUACAUCGUAAUCUACUUUUUCGUGGGGGAUAACGUAGGGAAACUUACUCUAAUACCGCAUACGACCUACGGGUGAAAGCAGGGGAUCUUCGGACCUUGCGCGAUUGAAUGAGCCGAUGUCGGAUUAGCUAGUUGGCGGGGUAAAGGCCCACCAAGGCGGCGAUCCGUAGCUGGUCUGAGAGGAUGAUCAGCCACACUGGAACGGAGACACGGUCCAGACUCCUACGGGAGGCAGCAGUGGGGAAUAUUGGACAAUGGGCGCAAGCCUGAUCCAGCCAUACCGCGUGGGUGAAGAAGGCCUUCGGGUUGUAAAGCCCUUUUGUUGGGAAAGAAAAGCAGCAGGUUAAUACCCCGCUGUUCUGACGGUACCCAAAGAAUAAGCACCGGCUAACUUCGUG
RNAcentral lists this ribosomal RNA (492 nucleotides) under uncultured bacterium. Its description in RNAcentral is "partial 16S ribosomal RNA". It matches the Rfam family "Bacterial small subunit ribosomal RNA", at positions 29 to 507 of the family's 1533-position model. The record is from RNAcentral.